GGACCAUCCUCCAAGGCUAAAUACUCCUGACUGACCGAUAGUGAACCAGUACCGUGAGGGAAAGGCGAAAAGAACCCCGGCGAGGGGAGUGAAAAAGAACCUGAAACCGUGUACGUACAAGCAGUGGGAGCACGCUUAGGCGUGUGACUGCGUACCUUUUGUAUAAUGGGUCAGCGACUUAUAUUCUGUAGCAAGGUUAACCGAAUAGGGGAGCCGAAGGGAAACCGAGUCUUAACUGGGCGUUAAGUUGCAGGGUAUAGACCCGAAACCCGGUGAUCUAGCCAUGGGCAGGUUGAAGGUUGGGUAACACUAACUGGAGGACCGAACCGACUAAUGUUGAAAAAUUAGCGGAUGACUUGUGGCUGGGGGUGAAAGGCCAAUCAAACCGGGAGAUAGCUGGUUCUCCCCGAAAGCUAUUUAGGUAGCGCCUCGUGAAUUCAUCUCCGGGGGUAGAGCACUGUUUCGGCAAGGGGGUCAUCCCGACUUACCAACCCGAUGCAAACUGCGAAUACCGGAGAAUGUUAUCACGGGAGACACACGGCGGGUGCUAACGUCCGUCGUGAAGAGGGAAACAACCCAGACCGCCAGCUAAGGUCCCAAAGUCAUGGUUAAGUGGGAAACGAUGUGGGAAGGCCCAGACAGCCAGGAUGUUGGCUUAGAAGCAGCCAUCAUUUAAAGAAAGCGUAAUAGCUCACUGGUCGAGUCGGCCUGCGCGGAAGAUGUAACGGGGCUAAACCAUGCACCGAAGCUGCGGCAGCGACGCUUAUGCGUUGUUGGGUA
Molecule: ribosomal RNA, 780 nt
Filed under: Shigella sonnei
Lineage: Bacteria; Pseudomonadati; Pseudomonadota; Gammaproteobacteria; Enterobacterales; Enterobacteriaceae
Description: partial 23S ribosomal RNA
Rfam family: Bacterial large subunit ribosomal RNA
Source: RNAcentral